This 1451-nucleotide ribosomal RNA is filed under the name metagenome. RNAcentral describes it as "bacterial LSU rRNA". It matches the Rfam family "Bacterial large subunit ribosomal RNA", at positions 1448 to 2925 of the family's 2925-position model. The record is from RNAcentral.
AGUAUAACAGAACUGUGGGGACACGUAAGGAGAGCGGGAGCCGGGAAUGGAAAGCCCGGUACAAGCGAGGUACCAGUAUGGUAGGAAAAACCGCCAUGCAAUGGGAAGACGUGAUGUGGAGUGAAAUAUAGUAACGAAGCCCGUGAGCCAUGCGUCAAGAAAAGCCGCUAUUGUUUAUAUUGUACCCGUACCGUAAACCGACACAGGUGGAUGAGGAGAGAAUCCUAAGGCCGGCGGAAGAAGUAUUGCCAAGGAACUCGGCAAAAUGGCCCCGUAACUUAGGGAGAAGGGGUGCCUGCGAGAGCAGGCCGCAGAGAAUAGGCUCAAGCAACUGUUUAGCAAAAACACAGGUCUAUGCGAAACCGAAAGGUGAGGUAUAUGGGCUGACGCCUGCCCGGUGCUGGAAGGUUAAGAGGAGAGGUUAGACGCAAGUCGAAGCUUUGAAUUUAAGCCCCAGUAAACGGCGGCCGUAACAAUAACGGUCCUAAGGUAGCGAAAUUCCUUGUCGGGUAAGUUCCGACCCGCACGAAAGGCGUAAUGAUUUGAGCGCUGUCUCGGCAAUACAUCCGGUGAAAUUGAAGUGCCAGUGAAGAUGCUGGCUACCCGCGCCAGGACGGAAAGACCCCAUGGAGCUUUACUCCAGUUUGGCACUGGGGUCCGGUGUUGCAUGUACAGGAUAGGUGGGAGGCUGAGAGAUAGUGACGUCAGUUGCUAUGGAGCCGCUGUUGGGGUACCACCCUUGUGGGGGCUUCUAACCAGCCGCCGUGAACCGGCGGUGGGACAAUGCCAGGCGGGGAGUUUGACUGGGGCGGUCGCCUCCGAAAGGGUAUCGGAGGCGCCCAAAGGUUCCCUCAGAAUGGACGGAAACCAUUCGAAGAGUGCAAAGGCAGAAGGGAGCUUGACUGCGACACCGACGGGUGGAGCAGGUACGAAAGUAGGGCUUAGUGAUCCGGUGGUAUUAAGUGGGAAUGCCAUCGCUCAACGGAUAAAAGCUACCCUGGGAUAACAGGCUUAUCACUCCCAAGAGUUCACAUCGACGGAGUGGUUUGGCACCUCGAUGUCGGCUCAUCGCAUCCUGGGGCUGUAGCAGGUCCCAAGGGUUGGGCUGUUCGCCCAUUAAAGCGGUACGCGAGCUGGGUUCAGAACGUCGUGAGACAGUUCGGUCCCUAUCCGGCGUGGGCGUAGGAUAUCUGAGAGGAGCUGUCCUUAGUACGAGAGGACCGGGAUGGACGGACCGCUGGUGGACCGGUUGGCUUGCCAAAGCCAUGGCCGGGUAGCCAAGUCCGGAAGGGAUAAACGCUGAAGGCAUCUAAGCGUGAAGCCCCCCUCAAGAUGAGAUAUCCCAUUCUUUAAGAAGUAAACCCCCUUGAAGACGACGAGGUAGACAGGGCAGAGGUGGAAGUGUGGUAACACAUGGAGCUGACUGUUACUAAUCGGGUGAGGGCUUGACC